GUGUCAGCCGCCGCGGUAAUACCGGCAGCUCAAGUGAUGACCGAUUUUAUUGGGCCUAAAGCGUCCGUAGCUGGCCGCACAAGUCCAUCGGAAAAUCCACCCGCCCAACGGGUGGGCGUCCGGUGGAAACUGUGUGGCUUGGGACCGGAAGGCGCGACGGGUACGUCCGGGGUAGGAGUGGAAUCCCGUAAUCCUGGACGGACCGCCGAUGGCGAAAGCACGUCGCGAGGACGGAUCCGACAGUGGGGGACGAAAGCCAGGGUCUCGAACCGGAUUAGAAACCCGUGUAGUCC
RNAcentral lists this ribosomal RNA (293 nucleotides) under uncultured prokaryote. RNAcentral describes it as "partial 16S ribosomal RNA". It matches the Rfam family "Archaeal small subunit ribosomal RNA", at positions 455 to 747 of the family's 1478-position model. The record is from RNAcentral.